Molecule: unclassified non-coding RNA, 413 nt
Filed under: Hevea brasiliensis (rubber tree)
Lineage: Eukaryota; Viridiplantae; Streptophyta; Magnoliopsida; Malpighiales; Euphorbiaceae
Source: RNAcentral
GGGAAUCUUGGCAUCUCAAGCCUGGUCACGCUCGCUCAAAGAUGCAACCAUGACUGAGAAGCACGAAAUGUGGAUGGCUAAAUAUGGACGUGUUUAUAAAGACAAUGCAGAGAAGGAAAGACGCUUUAAUAUAUUCAAGGAGAAUGCGGAGUUUAUUGAAUCCUGCAACAAUGCUGGGAAUAAGCCUUACAAGCUAGACAUCAAUGAAUUUGCAGACCUAACUAAUGAAGAGUUCAGAGCCUCUAGAAAUGGAUACAAAAGGUCUUACAUUCCCAAGUCAUCAGAAGCAUCAUCAUUUAAGUACGAAAAUGUCACUGCAGUGCCAACCUCCAUUGACUGGAGGAAAAAAGGAGCAGUUACCCCCAUCAAGGACCAAGGCCAAUGUGGUAAGGCACAUUAGCCUAUUUUGUAUU